This 496-nucleotide ribosomal RNA is filed under the name uncultured bacterium. RNAcentral's name for it is "partial 16S ribosomal RNA". It matches the Rfam family "Bacterial small subunit ribosomal RNA", at positions 29 to 507 of the family's 1533-position model. The record is from RNAcentral.
AUGCACGCUGGCGGCGUGCCUAAUACAUGCAAGUCGAGCGAACAGACGAGGAGCUUGCUCCUCUGACGUUAGCGGCGGACGGGUGAGUAACACGUGGAUAACCUACCUAUAAGACUGGGAUAACUUCGGGAAACCGGAGCUAAUACCGGAUAAUAUAUUGAACCGCAUGGUUCAAUAGUGAAAGACGGUUUUGCUGUCACUUAUAGAUGGAUCCGCGCCGCAUUAGCUAGUUGGUAAGGUAACGGCUUACCAAGGCAACGAUGCGUAGCCGACCUGAGAGGGUGAUCGGCCACACUGGAACUGAGACACGGUCCAGACUCCUACGGGAGGCAGCAGUAGGGAAUCUUCCGCAAUGGGCGAAAGCCUGACGGAGCAACGCCGCGUGAGUGAUGAAGGUCUUCGGAUCGUAAAACUCUGUUAUUAGGGAAGAACAAAUGUGUAAGUAACUAUGCACAUCUUGACGGUACCUAAUCAGAAAGCCACGGCUAACUACGUG